RNAcentral lists this ribosomal RNA (517 nucleotides) under uncultured bacterium. Its description in RNAcentral is "bacterial SSU rRNA". It matches the Rfam family "Bacterial small subunit ribosomal RNA", at positions 501 to 1016 of the family's 1533-position model. The record is from RNAcentral.
CUACGUGCCAGCAGCCGCGGUAAUACGUAGGUGGCAAGCGUUGUCCGGAAUUAUUGGGCGUAAAGCGCGCGCAGGCGGAUUGGUCAGUCUGUCUUAAAAGUUCGGGGCUUAACCCCGUGAUGGGAUGGAAACUACCAAUCUAGAGUAUCGGAGAGGAAAGUGGAAUUCCUAGUGUAGCGGUGAAAUGCGUAGAUAUUAGGAAGAACACCAGUGGCGAAGGCGACUUUCUGGACGAAAACUGACGCUGAGGCGCGAAAGCCAGGGGAGCGAACAGGAUUAGAUACCCUGGUAGUCCACGCCGUAAACGAUGAGUGCUAGGUGUUAGACCCUUUCCGGGGUUUAGUGCCGCAGCUAACGCAUUAAGCACUCCGCCUGGGGAGUACGACCGCAAGGUUGAAACUCAAAGGAAUUGACGGGGGCCCGCACAAGCGGUGGAGCAUGUGGUUUAAUUCGAAGCAACGCGAAGAACCUUACCAGGUCUUGACAUCCCUCUGACCGCUCUAGAGAUAGAGUUUUC